This 411-nucleotide ribosomal RNA is filed under the name uncultured bacterium. RNAcentral describes it as "partial 16S ribosomal RNA". It matches the Rfam family "Bacterial small subunit ribosomal RNA", at positions 355 to 755 of the family's 1533-position model. The record is from RNAcentral.
UGGGGAAUUUUGGACAAUGGGCGAAAGCCUGAUCCAGCAAUGCCGCGUGUGUGAAGAAGGCCUUCGGGUUGUAAAGCACUUUUGUCCGGAAAGAAAAUCCUUGGCUCUAAUACAGUCGGGGGGAUACGGUACCGGAAGAAUAAGCACCGGCUAACUACGUGCCAGCAGCCGCGGUAAUACGUAGGGUGCAAGCGUUAAUCGGAAUUACUGGGCGUAAAGCGUGCGCAGGCGGUUUGCUAAGACCGAAUGUGAAAUCCCCGGGCUCAACCUGGGAACUGCAUUGGUGACUGGCAGGCUAGAGUAUGGCAGAGGGGGGUAGAAUUCCACGUGUAGCAGUGAAAUGCGUAGAGAUGUGGAGGAAUACCGAUGGCGAAGGCAGCCCCCUGGGCCAAGUACUGACGCUCAUGCACG